Molecule: long non-coding RNA, 3371 nt
Organism: Coffea arabica (coffee)
Lineage: Eukaryota; Viridiplantae; Streptophyta; Magnoliopsida; Gentianales; Rubiaceae
Source: RefSeq, a predicted model, not a curated record
GUUUGGUUCCCUAUAAAAUUGGGAUUUAGAAUUGGAAUUGGGAUCAUAAUUCCAAUUCCAUUGUUUGGAUUUUGCUUCCCUCAAAGAAUUAGGGGCUGCUUGGUUAGAGGGUUUGGGAAUCACAGAAAGGAAUGAAUCCCUUAUUUGUUGCUUGGGUUAAGUCUAUUGGAAUGCAAAUUUUGGAAUCAUUUCUAAAAAAUCGGACUUCCUUAAUUUCCGAGCAAAUUGGGAGGUUUUGGACAAAACCCUCAACUGAUUCCCUCAGACAAUAUUUAUGAUAGGCCUACCCUCUCUUUCUCUCCAUCACACGCAGCACCUUCUGUUCUUCUUCUUCAUCAGAUUUUCUCUCUCUUCUUCUUCAUGUCUUAUCCAAAAUUUCUUCUCCGUUGCCUCUGCAAUUUUCUUCUCCGUUGCCUCUACAAUUUUCUCUGCAAUUUUCUUCUCCGUAUGCAAGCUUUUCUCUUCCUUCUUCUCUGUUUUUUCAGGCUACUCACUGGUUAGCUAAAAAUAAAAAAGAAAAGAAGGGAAUUCGACACAAUAACACUAACUGGACCAAAAUGCUAUGCUCUAGACCCAUCACCUUCUCACUUUUAUUCCACUCACGCUACUCACUGUGUUUUCUUGAAUUACGCAUUCAAUGGAAGCUCAGAAACAAAGGGUCAAUCGAUUUUUGAUAUUUUGGUUAUUUAAUCCGUGAAUACUGGUAUAGUUUGGGUGGGCUUCUGGUUGCCUUGUACCUAUUUGUAAAAUUGUUUGUCUGAAUACCUUUCAGUUUCAUAGUUAUGGGCAUUAAAUACAAAAUCUGCGAGUUUUCCAUAAAGAGCUGGUAUCUUAUGAGCUAUCUUUUUUUUUUUUUUUUUGACUUUCACAUAUUUAAUUUAUAAAUAUAAAACAUAUUAGUUUUCCUUUGGCCGUUAUUUAACCAAUUUUUCCUAUAAAAAGUUGGUAUAUUUUCCAUAAAGAGUUGGUACAAAAUAUACUAAAAACCUUGCCAGUUUUCCAUAAAGAGCUGGUAUGUUAUGUGUUAUUUAACCAAAUUUUCAUAUUUAAAUAAAUUUAUGAAAAUUAAAAUAACGUAUUUGAAAGUUGUGUUUUUAUUUGGAAGAACGCAUUCCUUGGAUGCAUUUUUCACCCUUUGGGAAGAGAAUAAAAAAUCGCCACCCUUUGGGAAGUUAGUUUAAAAACUCCCUCUUUUUGGGAAUUUACUCCUUGUUAAUGCAGCCACUACAUUUAUUUUUUGGUAUUAAUUUUUUAAAAAUUUAUGAUUUUCUUAUGUUUUAUCAAAAAGUUAAUAACUAUUGUAGUUACAAUUAUGGAGAUGUUAAUUUGUCGUAUGUGUAAUUCUUUUAUUUUAUAAGAAUUGUUAUAUCAGGGGUAAAUUUGGAAUUUAAUUGCAUUUAAUUCUGAAACACUCAUCAAACCAAGCAUCAGGAAUUGGAAUGAUGCUAAUUCUAAUGUGUGAACCAAGUUAGAUAUUGGAAUGAAAAGUUUAAUUCCAAAACCAGAGUCCAUGAUUCCAUUUCCAUUUCCGAUUCCAAUCUGUGAAACAAGCAACCCCUUAGAAUUGAAUCUGAAUUCUAUAAGAGUCCAAUUCUAUGAAUUGAAUUCUUUAUCCAACCAAAAGAAUUUCAAUUCCAAUUCCACAACUAAACGGGUUCUCGCGCGGAUCUAGUAUGGGUCAAAAAUUAAAAUGGGGUCAAGGAUAUUGGCACCCCUUUCUUCCUGUCUAACUCACCAUUUUUCCUCAGCCGCUAGUGCUAUGCUCUCCACCGUCACUUCCACCUGCAACCCUAGUAUCUUACCUUGCCCACCACCGUCUCCCCCCUGCCUUCCAUUUCUCUGGCCACUUCCUCCAUCCUUCGCCACUCUCGCCACUCGUCCACCCCAAAUUUCAGACACAUUUAGGGCUUGUGAGACACCCAGGAGGGAUAAUGCGAAUGCAAAGUUGACUUCCAACAGUAGAGGAACACCUUUUGGUCUCUGAGAUUUUGCCGCUACUAUUGCCCCGAAUCGAAAUGGCCUGUGCGGAACUUUGAGCCUAAAGAUGUACUAACACAUGGCAACCUCGAAUAGAGUACCAGUGGUUCGCGCUAAACACCCAUCAUAUUAAGGAAAUUACAAGCCAAGUUGAUGUUUGGGAUGCCAUCUUGAACAACAGGGCAGUUCAGGAUCUCCGGGGCUCAAUCUCUGCAGGAAAAACUUGCUGUCGGGUCAGGGCCUGAAAAAUCUUUUAUGUAUCGUCUCAAGGCUGCUAACUUCUCGUCAAUGGACAUGGAAUGUGAUGAAUGAAGGCUUGUUUAACCUUGUCCUGCAUUUAAGUAAAGUCGGUGCAUUCUUCUUGAUAGCAAAGUUGCGGGCUGACGAAGUUAGACAUGCUUAAAGGCUGAAGAUCGUCACUCCAGUCUUCCUUGUAUCUGUGGUAUUUAUAAAGAAAUUGGAAAAAGGAAAAGAAAAGGCCUUUAUUUUUUUUGGAUGAAUUAAGGAGAAGAGAGAGAAAAUGCCUAAUCGAACUCGGCCGAUGACAGCAUUAUUGGUGUUUACCGGACUCAAUGCCAUUUUGGUCUCAACAAUUGAACCAGUCUACGAUUUCGUCUGCUUCCAUCCCUACUGGGAACGCAGGAGAGAAUGCCGGCGUCGGGAACGUGAGGCUGCACUGGCGAAGAAUCCGGUAUCGCAUUGAAAAUUAUAGCAAUGGCAAGUGUCUUGGAUAAGUUUUCCAUCCAUCAUCCUAUGGUGUUUUGUGAUUUGUACGGGAAGGAAAGACUUGGAACUAAAAAUUCUACAAAAGAAACACUAAGAAACAGAAAAAGAAGGUAAAAAAUACUUUCCUUCACUUGAACCUUUACCAAUGAUUUUGGGAGCUACCCUGAAGUACAUCCUUUGGAACACUUUUGGCAGAAAAAGUUUUGACUGAAUUUUAAUCUCACGCCGAGGGAAAUAACUGUUGUAGCUUUGGGACUUCACUAUGUAAAGUAUGACUUGGAGGUUGGACAUGUUACAUGUAAAGGCUCCUUCGUAGGUUUAUCCACCAUAUGCAAGUAAAACUAGGGGUGCUUCUUUUGAAAUUUUGGUAGUCACAGUGCCUUCUUUCAUUUUUCAGGAAAAAAUUGGUUGAUGCAAACUAUUCUGUUCAUCCUGUGUUAUUUAUCCUCUUUGUUGGUUCCUUAUGGUAGGAAUGAACAGUUUUCUGUUCAUCUUUUAUCUGUAAUCUGUCUCUGUGAAGUCACUCUCAUGGACAAAACUGUGUCUGUCCGGGGUUGGGUUUUUGGAGAAAAGAAUAUGACAUUCGCAUAUCACAGAAGCACCUCUCCUCUGCUAGUAUGCAACACCAUUUAUAUUGUUAAUUGAAGAUGGUACAAUCUAUGCUGUGA